Long non-coding RNA from Neofelis nebulosa (Clouded leopard), 1658 nucleotides. RefSeq lists it as uncharacterized. The transcript is spliced from 4 exons. Lineage: Eukaryota; Metazoa; Chordata; Mammalia; Carnivora; Felidae. The record is from RefSeq and is a predicted model, not a curated record.
GGCCAGGGCAUGGGGGGCUGGGAGUGCAGGGGACGACUCCUGGCCGAGGGGGCUCUUUAUCUCAAGAAAUGGCAUUCAAAUUUCCCCGCCAGAUGGCUGUGAAUUCACAUAUGUCCACUUAAGGUAAAAGUCAGGUGGGAAUUUUGGAGGUAGGGCUCAGAACUCUGGCAGAAUCUGAAAUGAGGUCUAGAGAGACUGGAGUCUCUUGCUCUACAUGUGCCUGGGGCUGUUCCUGGUCAACACCGCAGGUGCAGGACCCAGGGAACCCGGGACAGUGGCAGGAACAUAGCCGCUUGCCUAGGCUGGCAGAAAGGAUGUGGGUUUUGAGCCAGUGGUCUGGAUUCAGAUCCCUUACUGACCCCCUGGGUACACUUAAGGAUCCUCAGGUGAGAGUCUGAGGCCAGGUUUCAUGGGGAAUUCUUUUUUCAUUGGCAGAUUUGCAGUCUUCCAGAGCCCCCUGCCUUGUGGGCCAUUGUAUCCAAAGUGCUGGGCCAGCCUGCCGGCUUAGGCCACACCCCUCCUUCAGAUGGGGUGCCUGCUGCCAGGCAACCACAGCCUAAAGAAAAAAAUGCAGCCAAGGGACUGUAGCUGUUCUGCACCACGCAGGCUGCCAGGAAGGAGUGGGGAAGCUUUUCUUUUAAGAGACCCUUAAAUGGUGUUGCAAAGUGAUGUUCAACAUAGGCUCUUGGCAAAAGAGAAUAGGAUUUAAAAGCACAGACGGGAAGUGUGGACGGCACCCAAACCAACACGUGUCAUCACAUACCUCUGGAUGUCCCUCACUUUGGCAGUAAAGUGGCACUCAGCGUACAGGAUGGCUCAAAAACAGCCUUAGCUGACCGUGCACAAGUCAGAGCUCCAUGAUUAUGGGCUAAGUAUGCAGCUAAGUAUAAUGACCUCACAAGCCACGAUGUGCCCUUACCUGCCGCUGCCAAUGGACGGGAACGCGAUGGACUUGAGCUUCUUAUCGUCUGCCAGGGCCAGACAGUUCUUCACCGUCUUUUCCAGAAGUUCCUCACACUUGUCUGCACCCCAGACCGGACUGUUACAGUGGAUCACAAACUUGGCAGGCAGGCCGUGACCUGCGCUGACAGCAGCUGGAGGAGACAAGACAGGAACAGUGAGUUCUGUCCCUCACACGCCCAACACAGCGCCCUCCAGCUGCAGCAUGCCCCCAGGCUCCCCUGUGACCUGCAUCCAGGGAGGGCUGCAGCUGCCUGCCAUCUUGUGCUUCUGAUGUCCCCCUAGAAACUGCUCACCAGCGAGUCUUCUCGGGAAACACCAGGCCAAGAGCCACCCUUGGAAAGCUGGCAUUGAGAUGCACCGCCACUAAGAAUUUUAGCCAAGAUUACAGCCAGCCCUCUCUGUACAUCCUCCCAGAGGCGGACCCUGAACCACCUAACUUGACUGACUCUGUCAGAAUGUUUGCUGCCUCAAAUUUGCCUCUGGGGAUCUCUAAGCCCCCUUCCUCCUGUGAACUCCUGUACACAUAAUUAUGAUGUGUCUAUAAAUCUCCCCGGCAGAGUUCAGGAUAAACCUAUUAGGAAAGCAACUCCAUUUAAUGAGCCACUAAGCAACAUGACUGGCAGCUCUGGUGCCCUCUUCUCCUCCUGAACUGAUCUUCGUUUUUGACAGAAUUAAAUUGUUCUUUCACGCUGGAA